RNAcentral lists this ribosomal RNA (253 nucleotides) under uncultured bacterium. Its description in RNAcentral is "partial 16S ribosomal RNA". It matches the Rfam family "Bacterial small subunit ribosomal RNA", at positions 524 to 776 of the family's 1533-position model. The record is from RNAcentral.
UACAGAGGGGGCAAGCAUUAUUCGGAAUUAUUGGGCGUAAAGGGCGCGUAGGCGGCUGGGGAAGUCGGCGGUGAAAGCCCGGAGCUCAACUCCGGGUCGGCCGUCGAGACUCCUCGGCUCGAGCUCACUAGAGGCAGAUGGAAUUCCGGGUGUAGCGGUGGAAUGCGUAGAGAUCCGGAAGAACACCGGUGGCGAAGGCGGUCUGCUGGGGUGAGGCUGACGCUGAUGCGCGACAGCGUGGGGAGCAAACAGG